GACGAACGCUGGCGGCGUGCUUAACACAUGCAAGUCGAGCGGAAAGGCCCUUUCGGGGGUACUCGAGCGGCGAACGGGUGAGUAACACGUGAGUAACCUGCCCUUGGCUUUGGGAUAACCCUCGGAAACGGGGGCUAAUACCGAAUAUUCACUACUUCUCGCAUGGGGGGUGGUGGAAAGAUUUUUUGGCUGGGGAUGGGCUCGCGGCCUAUCAGCUUGUUGGUGGGGUGAUGGCCUACCAAGGCGACGACGGGUAGCCGGCCUGAGAGGGCGACCGGCCACACUGGGACUGAGACACGGCCCAGACUCCUACGGGAGGCAGCAGUGGGGAAUAUUGCACAAUGGGCGCAAGCCUGAUGCAGCGACGCCGCGUGAGGGAUGACGGCCUUCGGGUUGUAAACCUCUUUCAGCAGGGACGAAGCGUAAGUGACGGUACCUGCAGAAGAAGCGCCGGCCAACUACGUGCCAGCAGCCGCGGUAAGACGUAGGGCGCGAGCGUUGUCCGGAUUUAUUGGGCGUAAAGAGCUCGUAGGCGGCUUGUUGCGUCGGCUGUGAAAACCCAUGGCUCAACCGUGGGCUUGCAGCCGAUACGGGCAGGCUAGAGUUCGGUAGGGGAGACUGGAAUUCCUGGUGUAGCGGUGAAAUGCGCAGAUAUCAGGAGGAACACCGGUGGCGAAGGCGGGUCUCUGGGCCGAUACUGACGCUGAGGAGCGAAAGCGUGGGGAGCGAACAGGAUUAGAUACCCUGGUAGUCCACGCUGUAAACGUUGGGCGCUAGGUGUGGG
This 784-nucleotide ribosomal RNA is filed under the name uncultured Actinomycetes bacterium. Its description in RNAcentral is "bacterial SSU rRNA". It matches the Rfam family "Bacterial small subunit ribosomal RNA", at positions 28 to 826 of the family's 1533-position model. Lineage: Bacteria; Bacillati; Actinomycetota; Actinomycetes. The record is from RNAcentral.